AAAAAAUAAAUAAAAAAUUAAUUUACAACGAAAUAAUUGAGUUCAAAAUAUUAAAUGGAAAAAAAUCACGCCCAUCCAAUCAGACAGCGACACGUGUCCUGCUUUUAAAAAGUAGAUUCUUCUCUCCAGGGUGUAAUCCAGUGUGGUGCACGCGCUGGAAUCUGAUGGAUUCGGAUGAUCUAGGCUGUCUGAUUGAUCAGACAAUCUUGAUGAGAUCAGAUCUUGGCUGUCUGAUGGAAAUCAACAGCCUGUAACCAUGGUACUGCGGUACGCGCGCGACACUAGAUCCGCGUCCAUUGAUGG
RNAcentral lists this long non-coding RNA (303 nucleotides) under Trifolium pratense (red clover). RNAcentral's name for it is "long non-coding RNA (TPRA_LNC004553)". Lineage: Eukaryota; Viridiplantae; Streptophyta; Magnoliopsida; Fabales; Fabaceae. The record is from RNAcentral.